UCGAACGAGAAAGCGGGGGCAACCUCGUGAGUAAAGUGGCGUACGGGUGAGUAACACGUGGGUAAUCUACCCUUUAGUGGGGAAUAACGCUGGGAAACCGGCGCUAAUACCGCAUAAUCCCGAGAGGGGAAAGCAGCAAUGCGCUGAAGGAGGAGCCCGCGGCCGAUUAGUUUGUUGGUAGGGUAACGGCCUACCAAGACGAAGAUCGGUAGCCGGCCUGAGAGGGCACACGGCCACACUGGCACUGAAACACGGGCCAGACUCCUACGGGAGGCAGCAGUGGGGAAUCUUGCACAAUGGGGGAAACCCUGAUGCAGCGACGCCGCGUGAGCGAUGAAGCCCUUCGGGGUGUAAAGCUCUUUCGGCAGGGAAGAAUCAUGACGGUACCUGCAGAAGCAGCUGCGGCUAACUACGUGCCAGCAGCCGCGGUAAUACGUAGGCAGCGAGCGUUGUUCGGAGUUACUGGGCGUAAAGGGUGCGUAGGCGGUUCUUUAAGUUUGGUGUGAAAUCUCCCGGCUCAACUGGGAGGGUGCGCCGGAUACUGAAGGACUAGAGUGCGGGAGGGGAGAGUGGAAUUCCUGGUGUAGCGGUGAAAUGCGUAGAUAUCAGGAGGAACACCUGUGGUGCAAACGGCUCUCUGGACCGUAACUGACGCUGAGGCACGAAAGCGUGGGGAGCAAACAGGAUUAGAUACCCUGGUAGUCCACGCCCUAAACGAUGCACGUUUGGUGUGGGUGAUUCAGUUCAUCCGUGC
RNAcentral lists this ribosomal RNA (754 nucleotides) under uncultured bacterium. RNAcentral describes it as "bacterial SSU rRNA". It matches the Rfam family "Bacterial small subunit ribosomal RNA", at positions 62 to 846 of the family's 1533-position model. The record is from RNAcentral.